GCAUAUCAAUAAGCGGAGGAAAAGAAACCAACAGGGAUUACCUCAGUAACGGCGAGUGAAGCGGUAACAGCUCAAAUUUGAAAGCUAGCUCUUUUAGGGUUCGCAUUGUAAUUUGUAGAAGAUGCUUCGGGUGUGGCCCCGGUCUAAGUUCCUUGGAACAGGACGUCAUAGAGGGUGAGAAUCCCGUAUGUGACUGGGUGCUUUCGCUCAUGUGAAGCUCUUUCGACGAGUCGAGUUGUUUGGGAAUGCAGCUCAAAAUGGGUGGUAAAUUUCAUCUAAAGCUAAAUAUUGGCCAGAGACCGAUAGCGCACAAGUAGAGUGAUCGAAAGAUGAAAAGCACUUUGGAAAGAGAGUUAAACAGUACGUGAAAUUGUUGAAAGGGAAGCGCUUGCAACCAGACUUGCGCGCUGAUGAUCAUCCGGGCUUUUGUCCGGUGCACUCGUCUGCGCUCAGGCCAGCAUCGGUUUCGGUGGUGGGAUAAAGGCCUUGGGAAUGUAGCUUCUUUCGGGGAGUGUUAUAGCCCUCGGUGCAAUGCCGCCUACCGGGACCGAGGACCGCGCUUCGGCUAGGAUGCUGGCGUAAUGGUUGUAAGCGACCCGUCUUGAAACACGGACC
Molecule: ribosomal RNA, 615 nt
Filed under: Cadophora sp. JCM 28458
Lineage: Eukaryota; Fungi; Ascomycota; Leotiomycetes; Helotiales; Ploettnerulaceae
Description: eukaryotic LSU rRNA
Rfam family: Eukaryotic large subunit ribosomal RNA
Source: RNAcentral